This is a long non-coding RNA of Arabidopsis thaliana (thale cress), 454 nucleotides long. RefSeq annotates it as other RNA. The transcript has a single exon. The record is from RefSeq. NCBI's taxonomy places the organism in Eukaryota, Viridiplantae, Streptophyta, Magnoliopsida, Brassicales, Brassicaceae.
GGUCCCUCUGAUCCAACGUUCAAUAUCUUCCCCUCUAAACAAUUUCUUCUGAUUCGGGUCUCACCGACACAAGUCCGAGCAAUAUGUUUUCUCAGUUGUCUCAUGCCAGAAUCAUAGUUAACAACUUUGUAAAAAGAAACUAAAAUAAUCUAUUAGGGUUAAUUAAACUCUAAUUAUCUUAUUCGGAAUUGGAAAUAGGUACAGCUUGUUUUUCUGAUGUAAACCCCAAAAUGUUUGUCCCUCUUCUUCUUUUGUUUUUGUUAUGUAGUUUAUCAGAGAAAGGGAAAUGACAGGUAAUAUAUGGAAUAUUCGAGAUUCGUUGGCAUUUGAAGAAAUGCCCGCCAAACCAUUUUAUUCGUUUAUUUAUAUCUAGACUAGACCACUCCUCCCGGCUCCCUCCAUAUCUCAGACCUUUUGAAUGGGCCUCUAUCUGACCAUAUAUGGGCUUUGACCC